Molecule: long non-coding RNA, 1917 nt
Filed under: Spirodela polyrhiza (greater duckweed)
Lineage: Eukaryota; Viridiplantae; Streptophyta; Magnoliopsida; Alismatales; Araceae
Description: long non-coding RNA (SPOL_LNC002040)
Source: RNAcentral
CGUGCUCAAAUAUUCUCCAGAUCAGGGCCUUUUUGAGUCUGGGAAAACUCAGUGGGCUCUAUUUUGAAAAAUCGUUGUCUUAGUCGCCUAAAUACCCCAAGGGGACGGGCGUCUCAUAUUUUCAUUUAAACCCCUAUGAUUAUUAAAAUUCACCUUUUGAUGGCGCCUCCUGAAGGUCGCCCCGUCCCUAUCCCUCUCUCUGAGCCAUUUCGGCCUCUGGAUCAGGGUUUAUCUGGGCGUAAGAAAAUCUAUCGGGGUUUUUUGGAAAGGUAUCUUCUUCAUCCUUCACGGGGUCUUAAAAAAAACCAAGGGGGGAGAGGGAGAGUUCGGCACGUCGCCAUGGAACUCGCCCUCCCCCUCCUCCCGCUGCUGCUGCUCCUCCAGCUCGCCGCCGGGCAUGGAGGCGGCGCCGCCUUGCCCCCCUCCUUGGAGGCGCCUUACGGGCGGGUACACGGCGGCGGGGGGGAGGCGGAGGAGAAGAACAGGAGCCGGGCGGGGGGCGGCGCCGGGGGGGUCGCGGCGGCAAUAAUGGAGAUGGCGAUGGCGGAGGAGACGGGGGAGUGGCUGAGGGGGGAUCAGGAGGAGGAUCCACGAGCUGCCGGAGCUGGCCUUCGAGGAGGUGGAGACCAGCAGGCUGGUGCGCCGCCAGCUUGACGCCAUGGGGAUCUCCUACCGCUUCCCCAUCGCCACCACCGGCCUCGUCGCCACCGUCGGCACCGGCGGCCCUCCCUUCGUCGCCCUCCGCGCCGACAUGGACGCCCUCCCCAUCCAGGUUCCCCCGUCUCUUCCUAUUCUUCUUCAUCCUUCUCUUCCUCCUCUUCUUCUUUCUCCUCUCCCUCUUUCUCCUCUUCUUUAUCAUCCUGUUCCCCCUCUUCUUCAUGCUCCUGUUCAUCCUCCUAUACCUGCUCGUCUUCUUCAUGCUCCUGUUCAUCCUCCUAUACCUGCUCGUCUUCUUCGUCCUCGCCGGCCCUUGAUCUUCCUUUCUUCCUCUGCUCUGCUCGCAGGAGGCGGUGGAGUGGGAGCACAAGAGCAAGGUCGCCGGCAGGAUGCACGCCUGCGGCCACGACGCCCACGUCGCCAUGCUCCUCGGCGCCGCCCGGAUACUGAAAUCCCGCGAGGCCCACCUCCAGGUCAGACACACACAGGCAGACAAGAUAGAUGAAUAGGUGGAUAGAGAGAGCGAGAGAGAGCUGACCUUGUGCAGUGGGUUUCUGGCAGGGGACGGUGAGGUUGAUCUUCCAGCCGGCGGAGGAGGCGGGGAAUGGCGCCAUGAGGAUGAUCAAGGAAGGGGCGCUGGAGGGAGCAGAGGCCAUAUUCGCCGCCCACGUCUCGCACGAGCACCCCACCUCCAUCGUCGCCUCCAUGCCCGGCGCCAUUCUCGCCGGCUGCGGCUUCUUCAAGGCCGUCCUCACCUCCCCGGAGCACGGGGGCGGCGCCAGCCCCAUCAUCGCCGGCGCCGCCGUCGUCGUCUCCCUGCAGAGUCUCGUCUCCCGCGAAGCCGACCCCCUCGACUCCCAGGUCGUCUCCGUCGCCUCCUUCAACGGCGACGCCGCCAGCUCCGCCACCCUCGGCGGCACCUUCCGCGCCUUCUCCAACGCCAGCUUCCACCACCUCCGCCGGAGGAUCCAAGAGGUCCGCCCUUCCGCUCCAUCGCCACCUGCCAUUCUCACAUACAAUUUCAUUUCGUGAGCUCACCAGUUCAUCACCACCUCAUCUGGCACGGGCAGGUGAUCGAGGAGCAGACGAGAGUGUACAGGUGCGCGGUGGAGGUGGACUUCUUCGAGGACCAGCAGUUCUACCCGCCGACGGUCAACGACGAGGCGAUGGCGGCGCUGGUGAAGGAGGUGGCCGUUGACCUGCUGGGGCGGGAGAGGUACUGGGAAGUGCUGCCGAGAAUGGGGGCUGAGGACUUCGCCU